UAGGGAAUCUUCGGCAAUGGACGAAAGUCUGACCGAGCAACGCCGCGUGAGUGAAGAAGGUUUUCGGAUCGUAAAACUCUGUUGUUAGAGAAGAACAAGGACGUUAGUAACUGAACGUCCCCUGACGGUAUCUAACCAGAAAGCCACGGCUAACUACGUGCCAGCAGCCGCGGUAAUACGUAGGUGGCAAGCGUUGUCCGGAUUUAUUGGGCGUAAAGCGAGCGCAGGCGGUUUCUUAAGUCUGAUGUGAAAGCCCCCGCCUCAACCGGGGAGGGUCAUUGGAAACUGGGAGACUUGAGUGCAGAAGAGGAGAGUGGAAUUCCAUGUGUAGCGGUGAAAUGCGUAGAUAUAUGGAGGAACACCAGUGGCGAAGGCGGCUCUCUGGUCUGUAACUGACGCUGAGGCUCGAAAGCGUGGGGAGCAAACAGG
RNAcentral lists this ribosomal RNA (429 nucleotides) under Gemmatimonadota bacterium. RNAcentral describes it as "Gemmatimonadetes bacterium partial 16S ribosomal RNA". It matches the Rfam family "Bacterial small subunit ribosomal RNA", at positions 355 to 776 of the family's 1533-position model. Lineage: Bacteria; Pseudomonadati; Gemmatimonadota. The record is from RNAcentral.